Molecule: non-coding RNA, 232 nt
Organism: Macaca mulatta (Rhesus monkey)
Lineage: Eukaryota; Metazoa; Chordata; Mammalia; Primates; Cercopithecidae
Source: RefSeq, a predicted model, not a curated record
GCCAAAGUGAGGAGUUUCUGGAAGGGAUUAUCUACAGAGGCUAUGAAGUCCUUUUUGGAAGGCCUAGAACAGAUUUGUGACUGCAAAACACCAGAUAUUUCUCCUGGGUUCUUAAUGGUACCAGUCUUGAUUCAAGAACAAUCUGCUUCCCCGUCGAGGGCUUUCCUCGUCUAAGCUGUCGCGCUCCAUAUCAUCCCGGAUUCGAUCAUCAAACUCAGAAUGGGACAUCAUC